RNAcentral lists this long non-coding RNA (2416 nucleotides) under Brassica napus (rape). RNAcentral's name for it is "long non-coding RNA (BNAP_LNC000161)". Lineage: Eukaryota; Viridiplantae; Streptophyta; Magnoliopsida; Brassicales; Brassicaceae. The record is from RNAcentral.
AGCAAACAACAACUUCAUGCUUCAAGGACAUGAAGAGAAACAAAGAGAAGCAGAGACGAAGGAGUCUUCUUCAUCACUGAAGCUACCAUGUGGAGUCUUGCCAUUACCAGAGCUGCAAUUACCUAAACAAGGAUUAGAAUGGGGACAAGACCAGUUCUUGAGUAUAAGCCCAUGGCUCCAGAAUCUUACCCCAAUUGUUAACCUACUAAAUUUUUAGGAUAUGUAAAAAAAAAAAAACUCCCAACAGAACUAACUAUUCUUCAGUGAUACCUACCCUCCUUCACCUGAGCAAAAAAAAAAAAAAAACCGACCUUCAUCUUCAUUUAGUACUCCAUAGAAAUUUACGUACAUUUACUGAAACAUGCAUAGUAAAGAAAAUAAAUUAAAUCCAAUUUUGUAGUAAGGUGUUUGACAGUUGAAACUUUGAUCAUGAACUUUUCAAGUUAUCUAUUCUUCCAUUUUUCUUUUGUUUUAGAUACUUAACAAAAAUUUCUUGACCACAUAGCCGUAAGUUUUUGAGGUGUUCUGGAUAAUUAGACCGGAAUAGAAAAACUAACGAAACAAUGAAGUCUAUGAAAAACACCCAAAACAGUUAGUUAAGACUAAAAUAUAUACUAUUUUUCUGAAACGGAUGGAAUAUCACUUUAUAUUACCUUAAAAUAAUAGUAUGUAAUUUACAAAGUUAUAUUAUCAAAGGAAAAAAAAGUUUAUUCAUCUUUAAUGCGCUUUUGUCAUAUUGGUUUAUGUUAAUUAGCACUUAGAAGAAGAAGAAAAAUAGAGUUCAAGGUUCUGUCCCACAGAGGAAAAAGACUUCCCGUCUUUUAGAGGAGACUUCGAAAGUCAAGCCUCAGAUUAAACUAAAUGGUGGAAGUCCCACGAUCAAAAUACACUGAUUCUUUUGGGGCACCAAAGCUUCUGGUCCAAAACCUCAAGACCCUUUCUACGAUAAAAGCGCGUGGGCUCCAUUCACUUUGAUCAAGACCUUUCUCUUUCUCAGUAAACAUCACAAACGUCUAAAAGUAUGGACAUUAAGAAGAAACUACUAACACAUUAGAAAAUUGCAAACAUGACUUUCAAAAUUUAAUAUGUUAAAUCCUGCCUCCACAUCUUCCUCUUGACUUGGUCUGCUCCAAUAAAACAUAGCCCCAUGGCCCUCAUCAGACAAAGAAUCUCUCUCAUCACAUAAGGUCUUAGUGUUAUAUAUAAAUAAGCGUUGCACCAUUAGUGAUAUCACCAACAACCUUUUCACUUACAAAGCUUUUAAAGCAACCAAAACUUCGGUAAGCGUCUUUAGAGACAGUGAGAGCUAUGUCAAGAGAGAUUGAGCUUCCAGGUUUCAGAUUCCACCCGACCGAGGAGGAGCUUACUGAUUACUACCUCAAGAACAUGGUUAACGGGAAAUUCUCCAAAGUCGAAGUCAUUGGUUUCCUCAACAUCUAUCGCCAUGAUCCAUGGGACUUGCCACGUAUGUACCAGUAUACUUGCUUUCUUCAUUCAUAUAAAAAUCUUAUUUAUUAAUAAAAAUCUGAAUUGUGAUCACAGUUUUAUCGAAAAUUGGUGAGAGAGAAUGGUAUUUCUUUGUGCCAAGGGAAAGGAAGCAUGGGAACGGAGGGAGACCAAGCAGGACAACUGAGAAAGGAUAUUGGAAAGCAACUGGUUCCGACCGUAAGAUCAUAAGCUUGUCUGAGCCAAAACGUGUGAUUGGGCUCAAGAAGACCCUUGUGUUCUACAGAGGUAGAGCACCAGGUGGAAGCAAGACUGAUUGGGUCAUGAACGAGUACCGUAUGCCUGACAAUUGCACCUUACCAAAGGUACCUUAUAAAAAAACAAAAGCUCUGUUAUCAAGAAACAACUCUUUUUCUCAUCUUGUGUUCUUGUUUGGUCGCAGGACGUUGUGCUGUGUAAGAUAUACAGAAAAGCCACUUCACUUAAAGUGUUGGAGCAAAGAGCAGAGAUGGAAUCUAAGAUGACUCAAACAUGCCCAAACUCUCCUCUCUCGUCUUCGGAGACCAUUUCUUACGUUGGAAAAGAAGAAAACUUGAUGACGACUUCGUUCCCUUUUCCUCAAGCAUCAGCCAUGCAAGAAGCAAACAACAACUUCAUGCUUCAAGGACAUGAAGAGAAACAAAGAGAAGCAGAGACGAAGGAGUCUUCUUCAUCGCUGAAGCUACCAUGUGGAGUCUUGCCAUUACCAGAGCUGCAAUUACCUAAACAAGGAUUAGAAUGGGGACAAGACCAGUUCUUGAGUAUAAGCCCAUGGCUCCAGAAUCUUACCCCAAUUGUUAACCUACUAAAUUUUUAGGAUAUGUAAAAAAAAAAAAACUCCCAACAGAACUAACUAUUCUUCAGUGAUACCUACCCUCCUUCACCUGAGCAAAAAAAAAAAAAAAACCUUGUAAGAUGCUUGGCUUCAGCU